Molecule: long non-coding RNA, 716 nt
Organism: Gymnodraco acuticeps
Lineage: Eukaryota; Metazoa; Chordata; Actinopteri; Perciformes; Bathydraconidae
Exons: 12
Source: RefSeq, a predicted model, not a curated record
UGUAGUUCUCUUUCCUGAAUGAACAGCCACGAGCAGAACGCAGUUCUUCUCCCUCACAGAGAAACUGAGAAACUUCCUCAUGUUUCUCUGCAGGAUGAAGGUAGGAGCAGAGAGAGGACUUCAUGUUUUCACUGAGGUGUGCAGAUGCGUGGCUGUGAUUGAUGAAGAUGUGGAGCUUCUGUCAAUCCUCCGUCUGCUGAUCAGGAGAUGCUGCAGAAGUCGUCCUGAGAAAAGCACCUGAUCAGGAGAUGCUGCAGAAGUCGUGCUGCGGUCCUGAAAACAAAGCCUGAUCAGGAGAUGUGGAGCUUCUGUCAAUCCUCCGUCUGCUGAUCAGGAGAUGCUGCAGAAGUCCUGCUGCGGUCCUGAAAACAACGCCUGAUCAGGAGAUGCUGCAGAAGUCGUCCUGAGAAAAGCACCUGAUCAGGAGAUGCUGCAGAAGUCGUGCUGCGGUCCUGAAAACAAAGCCUGAUCAGGAGAUGUGGAGCUUCUGUCAAUCCUCCGUCUGCUGAUCAGGAGAUGCUGCAGAAGUCGUCCUGAGAAAAGCACCUGAUCAGGAGAUGCUGAUCAGAAGAUGUUAAUGACCGCUCCGUGUGGGUGCGCUGCAUCACCCCCAGAGGGCAGCGUUUCCUGAGAGAUCCAAGUCCUCUCCGAAGCCAUUGGACAUUUGCUUAACAGUUCUUUUGUGUUUCUGUUAAUAAAGAUUGUCUUAUCCCUUA